This 79-nucleotide transfer RNA is filed under the name Puccinia triticina 1-1 BBBD Race 1. RNAcentral describes it as "tRNA-Thr (AGT) (tRNA-Thr-AGT-141-1)". It matches the Rfam family "tRNA". Rfam says of the family: Transfer RNA (tRNA) molecules are approximately 80 nucleotides in length. The record is from RNAcentral. Lineage: Eukaryota; Fungi; Basidiomycota; Pucciniomycetes; Pucciniales; Pucciniaceae.
GCGUCUAUAGCCUAGUUGGUAAAGGCAGUACUCUAGUACAGCAUAGCUAAGGUUGUGAGUUUGACUCUCACCAGACACA